CAGCAGCCGCGGUAAUACGGAGGGUGCAAGCGUUAAUCGGAAUUACUGGGCGUAAAGCGUGCGUAGGUGGUGGUUUAAGUCCGUUGUGAAAGCCCUGGGCUCAACCUGGGAAUUGCAGUGGAUACUGGGUCACUAGAGUGUGGUAGAGGAUAGUGGAAUUUCCGGUGUAGCAGUGAAAUGCGUAGAGAUCGGAAGGAACAUCUGUGGCGAAGGCGACUAUCUGGGCCAACACUGACACUGAGGCACGAAAGCGUGGGGAGCAAACAGGAUUAGAUACCCCUGUAGUCCCUGUCUCUUAUAC
RNAcentral lists this ribosomal RNA (301 nucleotides) under uncultured bacterium. RNAcentral describes it as "partial 16S ribosomal RNA". It matches the Rfam family "Bacterial small subunit ribosomal RNA", at positions 509 to 807 of the family's 1533-position model. The record is from RNAcentral.